UACAGAGGGUGCGAGCGUUAAUCGGAAUUACUGGGCGUAAAGCGCGCGUAGGCGGCUUUUCAAGUCGAUUGUGAAAUCCCCGGGCUUAACCUGGGAACUGCAGUCGAGACUGUCUAGCUAGAGUAUGGGAGAGGGAAGUGGAAUUUCAGGUGUAGCGGUGAAAUGCGUAGAGAUUUGGAGGAACACCAGUGGCGAAGGCGACUUUCUGGUCUGUAACUGACGCUGAGGCGCGAAAGCGUGGGGAGCAAACAGG
This 253-nucleotide ribosomal RNA is filed under the name uncultured bacterium. RNAcentral's name for it is "partial 16S ribosomal RNA". It matches the Rfam family "Bacterial small subunit ribosomal RNA", at positions 524 to 776 of the family's 1533-position model. The record is from RNAcentral.